This 77-nucleotide transfer RNA is filed under the name Sebaldella termitidis. RNAcentral describes it as "tRNA-Arg(acg)". It matches the Rfam family "tRNA". From Rfam's summary of the family: Transfer RNA (tRNA) molecules are approximately 80 nucleotides in length. Their secondary structure includes four short double-helical elements and three loops (D, anti-codon, and T loops). Lineage: Bacteria; Fusobacteriati; Fusobacteriota; Fusobacteriia; Fusobacteriales; Leptotrichiaceae. The record is from RNAcentral. RNAcentral also lists the same sequence under 3 other names.
GUACCCAUAGCUCAAUUGGAUAGAGUGUCUGGCUACGGACCAGAAGGUUAGGGGUUCGACUCCUCUUGGGUACGCCA